RNAcentral lists this ribosomal RNA (330 nucleotides) under uncultured eukaryote. RNAcentral describes it as "partial 18S ribosomal RNA". It matches the Rfam family "Eukaryotic small subunit ribosomal RNA", at positions 1470 to 1796 of the family's 1831-position model. The record is from RNAcentral.
CCCUUAGAUGUUCGGGGCCGCACGCGCGCUACACUGAAGGAAUCAGCACGUCUUUCUCCUUGUCCGAAAGGACUGGGUAACCCGCUGAACCUCCUUCGUGCUAGGGAUUGGGGCUUGUAAUUCUUCCCCAUGAACGAGGAAUUCCCAGUAAGCGCGAGUCAUAAGCUCGCGUUGAUUACGUCCCUGCCCUUUGUACACACCGCCCGUCGCUACUACCGAUUGGAUGGUUUAGUGAGAUCCUCGGAUUGGUCCCGGCGCGGCCUCUGGUCGUGCCGGAGUGCCGAAAGGAAUGUCGAACUUGAUCAUCUAGAGGAAGUAAAAGUCGUAACA